This 484-nucleotide ribosomal RNA is filed under the name uncultured bacterium. RNAcentral's name for it is "partial 16S ribosomal RNA". It matches the Rfam family "Bacterial small subunit ribosomal RNA", at positions 30 to 507 of the family's 1533-position model. The record is from RNAcentral.
AUUGAACGCUGGCGGCAGGCCUAACACAUGCAAGUCGAGCGGUAGAGAGAAGCUUGCUUCUCUUGAGAGCGGCGGACGGGUGAGUAAUGCCUAGGAAUCUGCCUGGUAGUGGGGGAUAACGUUCGGAAACGGACGCUAAUACCGCAUACGUCCUACGGGAGAAAGCAGGGGACCUUCGGGCCUUGCGCUAUCAGAUGAGCCUAGGUCGGAUUAGCUAGUUGGUGGGGUAAUGGCUCACCAAGGCGACGAUCCGUAACUGGUCUGAGAGGAUGAUCAGUCACACUGGAACUGAGACACGGUCCAGACUCCUACGGGAGGCAGCAGUGGGGAAUAUUGGACAAUGGGCGGAAGCCUGAUCCAGCCAUGCCGCGUGUGUGAAGAAGGUCUUCGGAUUGUAAAGCACUUUAAGUUGGGAGGAAGGGCAGUAAAUUAAUACUUUGCUGUUUUGACGUUACCGACAGAAUAAGCACCGGCUAACUCUGUG